GACGAACGCUGGCGGCGCGCCUAACACAUGCAAGUCGAACGGAGCUGAGAGAAGCUUGCUUUUCUUAGCUUAGUGGCGAACGGGUGAGUAACGCGUGAGUAACCUGCCCUGGAGUGGGGGACAACAGUUGGAAACGACUGCUAAUACCGCAUAAGCCCACGAUCCGGCAUCGGAUUGAGGGAAAAGGAUUUAUUCGCUUCAGGAUGGACUCGCGUCCAAUUAGCUAGUUGGUGAGGUAACGGCCCACCAAGGCGACGAUUGGUAGCCGGACUGAGAGGUUGAACGGCCACAUUGGGACUGAGACACGGCCCAGACUCCUACGGGAGGCAGCAGUGGGGGAUAUUGCACAAUGGGGGAAACCCUGACGCAGCGACGCCGCGUGGAGGAAGAAGGUUUUCGGAUUGUAAACUCCUGUCGUUAGGGACGAUAAUGACGGUACCUAACAAGAAAGCACCGGCUAACUACGUG
This 468-nucleotide ribosomal RNA is filed under the name uncultured bacterium. RNAcentral describes it as "partial 16S ribosomal RNA". It matches the Rfam family "Bacterial small subunit ribosomal RNA", at positions 28 to 507 of the family's 1533-position model. The record is from RNAcentral.